RNAcentral lists this non-coding RNA (46 nucleotides) under Schistosoma mattheei. Lineage: Eukaryota; Metazoa; Platyhelminthes; Trematoda; Strigeidida; Schistosomatidae. The record is from RNAcentral.
AUACUGCUGAGGAGUCCCAUACCAGGACGAAACGGCCGUCCAGUGC